CCCUUAGAUGUUCUGGGCCGCACGCGCGCUACACUGACGAAUGCAACGAGCUUAUAACCUUGGCCGAAAGGUCUGGGUAAUCUCCAAAUUUCGUCGUGAUGGGGAUAGAUUAUUGCAAUUAUUAAUCUUCAACGAGGAAUGCCUAGUAAGCGCAAGUCAUCAGCUUGCGUUGAUUACGUCCCUGCCCUUUGUACACACCGCCCGUCGCUCCUACCGAUUGAAUGGUCCGGUGAAGCGCUCGGACCGCGGCCUCUUGACGGUUCGCCGUCUGUUGGCUGCGGGAAGUUCGUUAAACCUUAUCAUUUAGAGGAAGGAGAANUCGUAACA
This 327-nucleotide ribosomal RNA is filed under the name uncultured eukaryote. RNAcentral describes it as "partial 18S ribosomal RNA". It matches the Rfam family "Eukaryotic small subunit ribosomal RNA", at positions 1470 to 1796 of the family's 1831-position model. The record is from RNAcentral.